GUUCCUGGUGAUGAUGGCUCAGUGCUGGCCACAGCCCAUCUUGUGGAGAUGGAGAACCCCCUGUCCACAGUGGUCCUGUGCAAAGGAGGUGAUGGAGGAGCUGAGGUUGGUCACAGGUACCAGGAGGGAUGGAGAGAGGGAGCAUCCUCCCCGAACAGGCACGAUGCUGCUCCUGCUUGAGGAUGCACACAGUGGAGCGCAAAGAUAAAGAUUGCAUCUCAUGCAUAAUGCAUGGCCCAGCAACCCGCUGCUGCCACAAAUUACCCGAGCAGAUUCCUCCAAUGGGGCUGGAAGAAAGGAAGGAGGGGGGGAAGAUAUUGUACUGAGUAUCUUUCUAAAGGGAUGACAAGAGAAACACCUAAAAAACAGGGAGAGAUGCUCGCAAAAGGGGUCAAUAUGGAAGUAAAGGUGAUGAGUGUGGAGCAGCAGGUCUGAACAGAGAGUGGGGUAACAGCAGUUCUGCUGGUCCUGGACGGAUGGGGACAGCCCAGAGCUGCCUAUGGAGAUGUCCAGGGUGUGAGUUUGUGUUGGUGGGAGCUUAUAAGAGGAAUGACUUGUGGGUAGGGAAAAGGGUUACUUGAUUUAUUUAUCACUUUCAAUUAGAUGCGAUGCAGCUCUGCACUCAUGCUGCAUUCAGAGAUGCUUCUGUAGAGCGGGAGCAAGCAGAGCAAAACACAUGUGAGAGGAUGGUGAGGAGGGGACAGAAAGGUGGGAACUGGCCACUGAAGUCACUUGGAAUCUUUAUUCCUUGCUGUCAGCAGCCCAGGAGCAGCCUUGGCUUCCCCCACUGCUGCUGUUUGCAGCCUUGGACGCUGCCUCCCCUCCCUGUAGGAGAGAAGCUGCAAGCAGAUGCUGCAGCCUUUCCUUCUGUAGUGUAUAAAGUGACCAAGCCGCUUCCCCAUGUGUGCUUCACCCUUGCUAACUCUGAGCUAUGCACUGCAGGAUAGCAGGAGAGGCAGGAGCCCAUUGCCCGUCUCCAAGAGCAAUUCCCUCUGGAGCUCUGCAGCAUGGUGGGAAAUGCAGAUGCUGAUUUGGGAGUAGUGUUAAACUUGGGGGUGGAGAGAAAUGGCAUUUUAGGAGCAGAUGGGGCGGGAUUUGCUUUAGCUUCGGGCUGGAGCAUGAGGGGUUGGCCCAUCAACCCAGCGGGGAUGCUGCUGCAGGUAGAGGUAACCAGUUUGGUGCUGCCAAAGAUGGAGCAUCCAUAGGCAUUUUCUGCUUUAGAAACCAAAGCCUGUUGAAAAGGGGCCUCUGAUUUGCCUCAAGGGGAAUGGGUACCAAAACUUCAGCAAGCACCAAGUAUGCUGAUAACUGUACAGAGGCCUCUGGAUGGCUGUGAUUCGAUGUAAGGCACAUUUUAAGACUGUUUGCUACGGGGUUUUAUUCCAUUUAAGUAAUACAGAAUAAGGCCUG
Molecule: long non-coding RNA, 1410 nt
Organism: Pezoporus occidentalis (night parrot)
Lineage: Eukaryota; Metazoa; Chordata; Aves; Psittaciformes; Psittacidae
Exons: 3
Source: RefSeq, a predicted model, not a curated record